Molecule: ribosomal RNA, 380 nt
Filed under: Pelagostrobilidium sp.
Lineage: Eukaryota; Ciliophora; Spirotrichea; Choreotrichida; Strobilidiidae
Description: partial small subunit ribosomal RNA
Rfam family: Eukaryotic small subunit ribosomal RNA
Source: RNAcentral
AUUCCAGCUCCAAUAGCGUAUAUUAAAGUUGUUGCAGUUAAAAAGCUCGUAGUUGGAUUUCUGGCGGGAUGAACACGCCCUCAGCUGAGUGUGCAUGAGCGUCUCACCAUCCUUCUGUUAACCCUUAAGGUUUUAACGACCUUCUGGGGGCUCAGAUAUUUUACCUUGAGAAAAUUAGAGUGUUUCAGGCAGGCUAGCGCCGGGAUACAUUAGCAUGGAAUAAUGGAAUAGGACUUUUUCCUCUUCUGUUGGUCUGAGGGGUUCGAGUAAUGAUUUAUAGGGAUAGUUGGGGGUGCUAGUAUUCAGCGGCCAGAGGUGAAAUUCUUGGAUUCGCUGAAGACUAACUUAUGCGAAAGCAUUCACCAAGGAUGUCUUCAUUG